RNAcentral lists this transfer RNA (75 nucleotides) under Halioglobus sp. Its description in RNAcentral is "tRNA-Gln". It matches the Rfam family "tRNA". From Rfam's summary of the family: Transfer RNA (tRNA) molecules are approximately 80 nucleotides in length. Their secondary structure includes four short double-helical elements and three loops (D, anti-codon, and T loops). The record is from RNAcentral. Lineage: Bacteria; Pseudomonadati; Pseudomonadota; Gammaproteobacteria; Cellvibrionales; Halieaceae.
UGGGGUGUCGCCAAGUGGCAAGGCACCAGGUUUUGAUCCUGGCAUUCGGAGGUUCGAGUCCUCCCACCCCAGCCA